CCUAUAGGCUCCAGGAGAAGGUCCUGGAAGAGACUGCCCCGGGGGAACAAGCCCACCCUGCUUGUUCAGGUUUCCUGAAGCUGAGCCUGGAAUCCACAAUUCAAGGGCCGUUUCUUCUAUUUCAUAGAUUUUUUUUCCUUCUGGAAAUCCUAUGAACGCUGUAUGUCAGUGAGGAUUGUUUUUGAGUGUAACUAAGGGACUUUGAAUUUGCUGAAUCAUCACAGGUUGGAAUCAUCCUUCGGAUCAGGAAGCAGGUAUGGAAUUAGCAAGGAACCUCUGCCCGUCAUAGUCACAUUGGGACCAAGUGUAGCAGAACAGCCAGGAUCUCCAAUGUCAUUAGUCACUGUGCCAGAAGGAAAGGAGCUCUGGAGAGAUUCCCAUCUGCAAUUGAAAGCAUCCUGUAAGUGACACAUGCCACCCCUGGUCUAGUUGCAAGACGCCACCCGGCCACAAGGGGGUCAGGCAGGAAAGAGGACCAGGCACAGCACACU
Molecule: long non-coding RNA, 491 nt
Filed under: Oryctolagus cuniculus (rabbit)
Lineage: Eukaryota; Metazoa; Chordata; Mammalia; Lagomorpha; Leporidae
Description: lncRNA (ENSOCUG00000036934.1)
Source: RNAcentral